AGGAGUGUAGCUCAAUUGGCAGAGCAUCGGUCUCCAAAACCGAGGGCUGCGGGUUCGAUUCCUGCCACUCCUGCCA
Molecule: transfer RNA, 76 nt
Filed under: Gemmatimonadota bacterium
Lineage: Bacteria; Pseudomonadati; Gemmatimonadota
Description: Gemmatimonadetes bacterium tRNA-Trp
Rfam family: tRNA
About the family: Transfer RNA (tRNA) molecules are approximately 80 nucleotides in length. Their secondary structure includes four short double-helical elements and three loops (D, anti-codon, and T loops).
Source: RNAcentral